ACUCCAGACUCCUACGGGAGGCAGCAGUGGGGAAUAUUGCACAAUGGGGGAAACCCUGAUGCAGCGACGCCGCGUGAGCGAUGAAGUAUUUCGGUAUGUAAAGCUUUAUCAGCAGGGAAGAAAAUGACGGUACCUGACUAAGAAGCCCCGGCUAACUACGUGCCAGCAGCCGCGGUAAUACGUAGGGGGCAAGCGUUAUCCGGAUUUACUGGGUGUAAAGGGAGCGUAGACGGCUGUGCAAGCCAGAUGUGAAAGCCCGGGGCUCAACCCCGGGACUGCAUUUGGAACUGUGUGGCUGGAGUGUCGGAGAGGCAGGCGGAAUUCCUAGUGUAGCGGUGAAAUGCGUAGAUAUUAGGAGGAACACCAGUGGCGAAGGCGGCUUACUGGACUGUAACUGACGUUGAGGCUCGAAAGCGUGGGGAGCAAACAGGAUUAGAUACCCCAGUA
This 447-nucleotide ribosomal RNA is filed under the name uncultured bacterium. RNAcentral's name for it is "bacterial SSU rRNA". It matches the Rfam family "Bacterial small subunit ribosomal RNA", at positions 328 to 792 of the family's 1533-position model. The record is from RNAcentral.